UCCCAAUUAGUUCAGAGGCUAGAACGCUAGAUUUGUAAUCUUGAAACGUCGGUUCGAGUCCGACAUCGGGAU
This 72-nucleotide transfer RNA is filed under the name Bacteriophage sp. Its description in RNAcentral is "tRNA-Thr". It matches the Rfam family "tRNA". From Rfam's summary of the family: Transfer RNA (tRNA) molecules are approximately 80 nucleotides in length. Their secondary structure includes four short double-helical elements and three loops (D, anti-codon, and T loops). The record is from RNAcentral. RNAcentral also lists the same sequence under 2 other names.